This 429-nucleotide ribosomal RNA is filed under the name Bacteroidota bacterium. RNAcentral's name for it is "Bacteroidetes bacterium partial 16S ribosomal RNA". It matches the Rfam family "Bacterial small subunit ribosomal RNA", at positions 355 to 776 of the family's 1533-position model. Lineage: Bacteria; Pseudomonadati; Bacteroidota. The record is from RNAcentral.
UAGGGAAUCUUCGGCAAUGGGGGGAACCCUGACCGAGCAACGCCGCGUGAGUGAAGAAGGUUUUCGGAUCGUAAAGCUCUGUUGUUAAGGAAGAACGAGUGUGAGAAUGGAAAGUUCAUGCUGUGACGGUACUUAACCAGAAAGGGACGGCUAACUACGUGCCAGCAGCCGCGGUAAUACGUAGGUCCCGAGCGUUGUCCGGAUUUAUUGGGCGUAAAGCGAGCGCAGGCGGUUAGAAAAGUCUGAAGUGAAAGGCAGUGGCUCAACCAUUGUAGGCUUUGGAAACUGUUUGACUUGAGUGCAGAAGGGGAGAGUGGAAUUCCAUGUGUAGAGGUGAAGUGCGUAGAUAUAUGGGGGAACACCGGUGGCGAAAGCGGCUCUCUGGUCUGUAACUGACGCUGAGGCUCGAAAGCGUGGGGAGCGAACAGG